RNAcentral lists this ribosomal RNA (745 nucleotides) under uncultured bacterium. Its description in RNAcentral is "bacterial SSU rRNA". It matches the Rfam family "Bacterial small subunit ribosomal RNA", at positions 51 to 780 of the family's 1533-position model. The record is from RNAcentral.
ACACAUGCAAGUCGCACGAGAACGCUCUGGCUUUACCAGGACAAGUACAGUGGCGGACGGGUGCGUAUCGCGUAGAUAACCUGCCCUUAGGCGCGGGACAAUCACGGGAAACCGUGGCUAAUACCGCACGUCGUCUGGGCCCCGCAUGGGGACCAGAUGAAAGCUUGGGGUUACCCAGGCGCCUUGGGAUGGGUCUGCGUUGGAUUAGCUUGUUGGUGAGGCAACGGCUCACCAAGGCGACGAUCGGUAGCUGGUCUGAGAGGAUGGUCAGCCACACUGGGACUGAGACACGGCCCAGACUCCUACGGGAGGCAGCAGUGGGGAAUAUUGGACAAUGGGGUCACCCCUGAUGCAGCCAUGCCGCGUGGAGGAAGACACCCCUAUGGGGCGUAAACUCCUUUUCUGAGAGAAGAAGCCCCUGUAGGUUCAGGGCGUGACGGUAUCUCAGGAAUAAGCACCGGCUAACUCCGUGCCAGCAGCCGCGGUAAUACGGAGGGUGCAAGCGUUGUCCGGAAUCACUGGGCGUAAAGGGUGCGCAGGCGGGGCAGCAAGUCGGAGGUGAAAGCCCGUGGCUCAACCACGGAAGUGCCUUCGAAACUGUUGCUCUUGAGUCCCGGAGAGGUUGCCGGAAUUCGUGGUGUAGCGGUGAAAUGCGUAGAUAUCACGAGGAACACCAGAGGCGAAAGCGGGCAACUGGACGGGUACUGACGCUCAGGCACGAAAGCGCGGGGAGCAAACAGGAUUA